RNAcentral lists this unclassified non-coding RNA (304 nucleotides) under plant metagenome. RNAcentral's name for it is "partial contains 5.8S ribosomal RNA, internal transcribed spacer 2, and large subunit ribosomal RNA". The stretch from base 1 to 105 matches the Rfam family "5.8S ribosomal RNA", at positions 50 to 154 of the family's 154-position model. The record is from RNAcentral.
GAAAUGCGAUAAGUAAUGUGAAUUGCAGAAUUCCGUGAAUCAUCGAAUCUUUGAACGCACAUUGCGCCCCCUGGCAUUCCGGGGGGCAUGCCUGUCCGAGCGUCAUUUCUGCCCUCAAACACGGCUUGUGUGUUGGGUGUGGUCCCCCCGGGGACCUGCCCGAAAGGCAGCGGCGACGUCCGUCUGGUCCUCGAGCGUAUGGGGCUCUGUCACUCGCUCGGGAAGGACCUGCGGGGGUUGGUCACCACCAUAUUUCACCACGGUUGACCUCGGAUCAGGUAGGAGUUACCCGCUGAACUUAAGC